GCCACACUGGGACUGAGACACGGCCCAGACUCCUACGGGAGGCAGCAGUGGGGAAUUUUGGACAAUGGGCGCAAGCCUGAUCCAGCCAUGCCGCGUGUCUGAAGAAGGCCUUCGGGUUGUAAAGGACUUUUGUCAGGGAAGAAAAGGCUGUUGCUAAUAUCGACAGCUGAUGACGGUACCUGAAGAAUAAGCACCGGCUAACUACGUGCCAGCAGCCGCGGUAAUACGUAGGGUGC
RNAcentral lists this ribosomal RNA (236 nucleotides) under Neisseria sp. HMSC066B07. RNAcentral describes it as "partial 16S ribosomal RNA". It matches the Rfam family "Bacterial small subunit ribosomal RNA", at positions 307 to 535 of the family's 1533-position model. Lineage: Bacteria; Pseudomonadati; Pseudomonadota; Betaproteobacteria; Neisseriales; Neisseriaceae. The record is from RNAcentral.